Molecule: long non-coding RNA, 7340 nt
Organism: Piliocolobus tephrosceles (Ugandan red Colobus)
Lineage: Eukaryota; Metazoa; Chordata; Mammalia; Primates; Cercopithecidae
Source: Ensembl
NNNNNNNNNNNNNNNNNNNNNNNNNNNNNNNNNNNNNNNNNNNNNNNNNNNNNNNNNNNNNNNNNNNNNNNNNAUAUAUAUAUAUAUAUAUAUAUAUAUAUAUAUUUUUUUUUUAUUUUACUUUUUUAUUUUCUCAACUUUUUAUUAUUCUUACUAUUUUGCUUCAUUUAAAUAUAAUACCUACUUUUGUAAUAUACUCAUAAUGUUUUACAGCAUACUGUUAAAAAAAAUUCCUCCAAAAAAAAAAAAAAAAAUUUUUGCCUCAUAAGAACAUUAUUACUACUACAUAUAUACAUAUAUUAAAAUUAAUGGUUAAGUCAAAAAACCAAAAAUAUAUAUAUAAUUUUUUUUUUUUGCAUUUUAUUUUUUUAUUUUACUUAUUUUAAGUAUAACACGUAUUUUUGUAAUACAUUCAUAACUGUUUUACAGCAUACUGCUAAAAAAAAAAAAAAAAAAGAUUGUGAGCCAUAAGAACGUUACUACACAUAUACAUAUAUUAAAAUUAAUGGUUGAGCCAAAAAACCAAAAAAAUAUAUAUAAUUUUUUUUUUUUUAUUUUACUUAUUUUAAGUAUAAUACAUACUUUUGUAAUAUAUUCAUAACUAUUUUACAACAUAUUGUAAAAACAGAAAAAGUCUAUACAUAUAUACGUAUAUUUUAUUAUAUAUAAAUAUAUUUUGUUAUUUGUUCGUUAAAAAUGGUUGGAGCUAUUAUUAUAAAAAACGCAUCUACACAGAAAAUCAAAAAAUAUGCUGUCAAAAAAAGUAAAGUCGAAAAGGAACAAACACAUUCCAAUAUAUCAAAUGAAAAUGUUAACAAAGUUUCAGCAGUUAGAAGGUCUCUAAGAUUAAAAAAAAAAAAUGGUGAUAAUGCUGAUAAUGCUGAUAAUAAUUUAUAUGAAACUGAUAAAACAAAGGAAGAUGUAAAAAGAGCAGCAACAACUAUUUGGCGUUACAUUAAGCGUGAAAUGUAUGAGAAAAAUAGUAAACUAGUCGACAUUAAGGGUUUUAAGAAAGAUGAAUGUGGCAGUAUCAGCACAAGAAAUAAAUGCAAACAGUUGAGCGUUGAACAUAUGAAAGAACACAUUAACAGACUAUUAAUACUAUUAAAAACGGGGGAAGUUUAUUUAAAGAAAAUGCAUGAAAAUUUGUACCAAGAUGAAUUAGAAAAAGAAAAUAUGAUUGUUGUUGCAGCUGGUAAGAACGCAUCACAUGUGCAUAAAGGGAAAACAUAUAUUAACAAUAUUUAUAACACCGUAGUACCAAGCAUAAAAUAUUUUUCGAAAAUAAUAAACAGUAAGAUUUAUGAAUAUAGAGAACAAUAUGAUAAAGAAAAUAAUUCAAUUACUUUUUAUCACGUUGACGGUACUAAGCGUUCAUUUACAUUGCCGCAAAAUACAUUUUAUUAUUUUACAACACAAAAUAAUAACAUUUUUAGUCCUAGUAAUAUAGUUAGUUACAAACAGAGAAGUGAUGAAAAAAUAGUGAAACAUAGUUUUGAAAGUAGUAAUAACGAUAGCAAUUAUAUUUAUGCGUUUUGUAACAACCAUGAGAUGAGCGACAACAAGAGCAAUAAUAACAAUGUAAGUGUAGCAGUUAUAGACACACAAAAGGAAACAAAUAAUAUAACGAAGCUUUCGUUGCAGAAACAACCUGUACGUACAUUUUAUAAUAAUAAUCAUUUAUUUUUGGUAAGUUUGUUAGAUAAUGAUAAUAAAGAAGAUUGUAAUGAAUUGCGCUAUUUUACAUACUCUAUUUAUAAUAACAACGAUAAAGAACCUAUUCGAUUAAUGUAUGUAUCUCCCGUGCAUCCAAUAUAUUCAGAUAUCACAGUAGAUAAGGAUACUUAUAAAAAAUUUUCAGAAUGUAGAUACUUUGAUAAGGAAAAAAAAUGUUUUAUUUGGUCCGAUGAUUUCAUAAACGUUGAUUGUACUGCUGAAGGAUUUAAGAAAUUAAAUACAGUACCCAACUUAAAUAUUAUACAUAUAGAUACAACCGUACCUAUAUGUAUAGCAUAUAAUGAAAGUACGCAGGUAUAUUGCUUUUUUCAUAUCAUAUUUGAUGUAAAGAAAUGUGAUAAAUCGUUUAUUCAUUUAAAUGAUUAUAACCAAAACAUGGAAAACAAAAAUUAUAUAAUCUUAUAUAAUUUUUUGAAUAUGGAGAAAAACAAAUAUUGCUUUGAAAAUAAAGUAUAUAAGGAAAUAAAUUUCAAUACUGAAAUUUAUAAGCCUAAAAUACUAUUUUCAAGAAGAGCAAAAAGCGUCCAUACACAAAUAAAAUUGUGUAUUUUUGAUAAUAUAAAUAAUAUAUUAUUUUUAAUACCAAUUUAUAAUAAGUAUAUACGGCAUAAGAUAAAAAUAAUUCCAAAUAUAAUAAAUUUUGUAGGUAUUAGUUUAUUCAAAGAAAUAUCGUUAUUAGAAAAUUAUUCUCAAAAUAUAUGUGGUUAUGUAAAUAAUAAAAUUAAUACAACUUAUUUAAACAUCCGACACGGAUACAUGGACAUUAAUAGUAUUUCAGUAAAUCUAUCAACGGGAAAUAGAACAAAAAAAUUAUUACAAAAAAUAGGUAUAUCAGAAAAUUUAAAUUGGGAACUCAACCACGAUAAAUCUGAAAAUAAAUUUAAUUCAAUUAAAAAAGAAGAAAGUAUUAAAAAUGAAAAAAAAAACUUAGAUUAUAACAGUUCCGGUGCUGAUAGAAUACUUAAUAUAAAUAAUAUGAAUAAUUUUAUAAUAAUUUUGAGCAAUACAGGGUUAUUACAGUUAUACUCUGAUGAUACAUACAUUUGUGAUAUACCUUUUGAGAAGAGUAGUGAGAGAAUUUAUUAUAUACAUAGCCCAGAUUACAGUAAAAAAUUAAUAGAAACAGUAAAGUUUGAAUUUAAUGAUAUAUUGCUAAAUACGUAUCAAUUUUCUUUUAGUAUAGAACCAAUGAAUAGAACAUUAGAAAAUUUUAUUGCAUUUAUUUAUUAUGCAUGUAGUAAAAAAAUAUCCAAUGAGUUUUUAAAGUUAAUUCUGAAUGAAUAUAAAAAAAGCAACACAAAUAUAUCAUUAUCUAUUGAUCUGAACUGUGAUUGUUAUGUACGUAGAGGUAGUUGUACAUAUGAAUUGAAUAAAAAUAAAGAUGUUGAUAAUAAAGAUAGUAUCAUUGAUAACAUACUAUCUAUUGGGGAUGACCAAUUACAAAUACAUUUUUGUAAAUUUUUGCACUUGUUUAUCUUACUUUUCGUAAAUGACAUUGAUAAAUACAUUAAUUUAACAGGUUUAAUAUACAUAAAAAAUGUUAGUGAUAGAAUUAAUUACAGAAAAAUCAAGAAAUAUAUGCAUAAACUUCAACAAAGUUAUUAUAAUUUACACAAAAAUCCAUAUAUUAUAUUCGUAUAUUUACAACAAUAUUAUGAUGAACUAAAUUUAGAUGGUUCCAUAGAUAUAAACGUAGUAGACGAAAUAUUAUUGUUAAUAAUUAUUUUAGGAUACUGUCUAAAUUUAUAUGGUUAUUCACUGGAAUAUAUAAACAAACUAACCAUAUCACAAAGAGAAUGGAUUGAACCAUUGUACAGACAUAUAUGCGAACAAUUUUAUGAAAAUGUGAUAUUAAAAAAUGAUACAUGUAUGAAUGAUAGUAAAAACAAUUUGAAUGAAAAUAAUAAUAUGAAUGAGACAACAAAUGUACAGGAAAACCAAAACAAAGAACAGGUGUCUAAAGAAGGUAAAGUUGUAGAACCUCUAGAUGCUACGUCCGUAACUACCAUUGCUGGUGUCGAUCCUUCAUGCAUUUCCAUCACCCAUAGUUCUAAUGAUAGUGGUAAUUAUAGAAAUAGCACACGUAAUAACGGUAAUUAUUAUAUCCAAAAAUUUGACGAAAGUGUAUUUGUAAAUUGUUAUUUAAAAAGUAAAUUGGAAAAGGAAUUGUAUAUACCUAACACCUUAAAUGUAUUAGAUAAUAUAUUGAACUGUAAUGAUCAUGAGAAAGCAGAGUUUAAUAAUAAAAUUAAUGAAUAUAUAAAUAGAUAUAUAUGUAUACAAAAUGUGGAAGGUCCUUCGGAAAAAUUGAAUCUAAAGGACGAAUGUGAUCUAAAAGAAAUGGAUAGAACACAUAGUAUCAUAAUGAAGCAAUAUAAGUUUAACAUGAUGGACGGUAGUAAUGAUAGUUAUGAUAAUCGUAGUAUUAAUAGAUGUAGUAUGAUCCGUGAUGUUACCAUUAAUGACAAUAAUAUGUAUGAUGAUGAGCAUAUAACGAAUUAUUAUUAUAAUCAGUUUAAAAAGAUUAAAGAUAAAAUUUUAACAAGUGACUAUUUAAAAUUUUUAUAUUACUUUAAACCAUUGUUUUUUCCAUUAAAACAUUUUUAUGUAAUAAAUUUUUUGAAUAUAUUGAGUGCGGAGCCAAAAGAAAAUGAAAAAAAAAUACUAAAUGAAACAUUGUAUAGAAAUAUAGUUAACAGUGAGUUAAAUGUAGUUUAUUCGCCUGCUGAUGAUUUAAAUUUUAUGAAGGAUAAGUGUGGAUAUAUCAAUUACAGUAAUGGUGCGAAUACGCAUAACAGUCACAUAGAUAAUACAAAAAACGAAAAUGAAUACAUUAAUAACAGUUAUAAUAGUAACAAACAUAAUACGUCUAUACCGUAUGAAAGUUUUAGUGACUGUGAAACAAAUGAAGAAUUUAUAUAUUACUCUAAAAAAUUAGAUAUUUAUACUAAUAAUAUGAAAUAUAUCAUAUCAAAAAACUUAGAUUAUGAAAGUUUAAAUAAUAUAUUAUUAAGAAGUAUUUAUUGUGAAACUGCAUAUGGUAUAAAUAAAUAUUCUUAUUUGAUAAGAAAUAUAAAAAUGGAUAAAAUGAAUAUGCUAUUAAAUGAAAAUAAACAACAAAUAGAAAAUGUAGCGCCAAUGGUUUUAGAAAAACCGGACAUUUUAAAAAAAUUAGAAGAAUUGAGUAAGAACAUUUUAAAUAAUAUAAUAAUAGAAAAAGAUAGAACACAACUAGAAAGCAUAGAAAAUGAGGCGAAGAAAUUGGGUGAAGAAAUGAAUAUGUUUAAACGUAAUAUAACAAAAGAUGAUAACACCAUAGAAAGUAUGUGGCAUUUUCUUUUUCGUAUUUUAGACAAAUUUGAAAUUAUGCAAUAUCUAUAUACAAAGAAUGCUCUGAGUUAUUUAGUAAGAAAGAAUAUGAAUAUAAAUAAUAAGAUUUUGCAGAAGAUGGAAUUAAAAUAUGUGACAAAUGGUGAUAUAAAAAACACUGUAGAAUAUAUAACUGAAAAAAACACAGUGUAUCAACUAAAAAAUGUUAAUUUGCUCCCCAAUUUUAUUAAAUAUUACGAAGAAAACAUUAUAUCAUCACAGGAUAUACUAAAAGAUAAAAAACCUGAAUUAUAUAUUUUUUGUAAGCUUAUAUACAAUUACAUGAUAUAUUUUAAUUAUUAUAACAGUAUGUACGUACAUUUCUUUAAUCGGUUUGAUAAUGAGAUAAACGCUUUGUUAAAUGAGGUAAGGGACUGUUAUGCACAUGAAAUGGAAUUGGAGUACCAGCUUAGAGAACAACGUUCGGGGUGGUACGAGCAAUAUAACAGUAUAGUAACUACGGAGAAAGGACGAGAUUUUAAUCUAAAAGGAAGGUAUAAGACCGAACUCCUAAAUACUGAAGAAAAAAUAAAAAAAAUGGAAAAAGAAAGGGUUAAUAAUUUUAAAGACAUAUUAAUAAAAUAUUCGAUUAGUAAUAUAAAAACAUUGGAACAAGUACAAUUUAUCAUGGAACAAUUGAAUAAUGAUCAUGAGUCAUGUAUGUUAAGCAUGUUCAAUAUAAAAAAACAUAUGCAUUUCGGCCGUUAUAUAGCUGACAUUCAUUAUUGUUUUGAUUUACUUCAUGAGUACUUUGUAUAUUUAAAAGAUAAGCGUAUAGGAUUAUACGAAGAAAAAAUAUAUAACAUACCUUAUAUUAGGGUUGAUUGUUCUUAUACAAGCAAAGUUCACUUUUUACAUUACCUACAAAAUAAACAAAGAAUAGUAAAACCAAGAGAAAACAGCAGAUUGAAAAAAAAUGUAAAUAAAUUAGUUCCUUCGAAACGUAAACUUGAUGAUAUAGAUUUAAUCAAAUUGGUGUCGCAGCCAUCCAAACGCGUCCCAAUGGAGGGAGGAUAUAUAACAUAUGAUGAAUUAAAAAGGGGCAAUUUAAAAAUUAAUUACGACGACCAUAUUAAUGAUAUUCCCAUGGUACAUUCAAAUUCUCAAAUAUCACAAGAACGAGAUGAGAUAGAUCAAAUAAACUAUAAAAGUGAUAUGUAUAAAACACUACCUAAGAUAUUUCACAAUCACACAGAAUAUUUAAAAAUAUUACAAGGGCUUUGUAAAAAUAAAAACACAAAGGGUGGGAUAUUUAAAUAUUUAUCGUUAUUAGAACAUGAAGAAUAUGUUGUUUAUUACUUCGAACAUUACACAUGCGUAUUACUAAGAAUUUUUCAGGAAUAUUAUGAAAAAGGAUAUGCAGAAACAUGUGUACAUUUUGAACAUGAUGAAAUAAAUUUAAAAACUUCAGACGGUUUAAUACAGUUAUUUAUCAAAUUUUGUAACUUCCCAACAUACCCCUCUUUUUGGAAAAUCGUUCUGGCUGAAGAAGAAGAUGAAGAAGAAAAAAAAAAAAAAACAUCUUUAUCCCGUAUAAAAAAUAUAUAUAUGAUUAUGAGUAUAGCCGUUUUGUACAACGUAUAGUGGAAGAAAUAUAUGAAUCACGAAUUCAUGCAAUAGAUAAUUCUUUUGGAUGUAACUUAAAAGAUCCAAAUGUAUAUAAAUGCGACGUAUUAGAAGAUAUAUAUGAGUGUAUGCACAAAAAUGCGAAUAACAAAAUACACAGAAAGCCAUUGUUAAAAAAUACCGAUAAGUAUACAUAUACCUUUACAUAUCUUAAAAAGUCGUUGGACACAAGUAAAUAUAUAGCUCAAAAAUUAAUUGACACACAUAAUAUAACUUUAAAUUCAGAAAAACUUAAUUCUUUUUUUACUGAUAUUUUGUUUUGUUUUGUCAUUGGCAAUUUAUAAUGACACUAUCAUGCCAAGUUUUAAAAAAAAAAAAAUGAUCUUUCGAAGUUGUUUAAAAUGUGUUUUUGCAUUUGUAUCACUAUGCAUGUUCGCAAGUGUGUACAAAAAUACUACAUAAUUUUGAUAAUUUGUUUAUUUGUUAUGUAUAUUUAUGUCAACUUUUUUUUUUCCAUCUAAAUUAAUGGGAACGUUGUAAAAGAGGGUCUUACUCUUUUUUCAUUUUUUACUUUCAUUCUCAUUUCCAUCUUCAUUUUCAUUUUUCAUUUUUCUUUUUUGCAUAUCACUUUUUUGUAUACAAAAAUUUAUGCAUUCAUAUUAAACUAA